RNAcentral lists this transfer RNA (73 nucleotides) under Dehalococcoidia bacterium. Its description in RNAcentral is "tRNA-Ala". It matches the Rfam family "tRNA". From Rfam's summary of the family: Transfer RNA (tRNA) molecules are approximately 80 nucleotides in length. Their secondary structure includes four short double-helical elements and three loops (D, anti-codon, and T loops). Further hydrogen bonds mediate the characteristic L-shaped molecular structure. tRNAs have two regions of fundamental functional importance: the anti-codon, which is responsible for specific mRNA codon recognition, and the 3' end, to which the tRNAs corresponding amino acid is attached (by aminoacyl-tRNA synthetases). tRNAs cope with the degeneracy of the genetic code in two manners: having more than one tRNA (with a specific anti-codon) for a particular amino acid; and 'wobble' base-pairing, i.e. permitting non-standard base-pairing at the 3rd anti-codon position. The record is from RNAcentral. Lineage: Bacteria; Bacillati; Chloroflexota; Dehalococcoidia. RNAcentral also lists the same sequence under 3 other names.
GGGGACAUAGCUCAACUGGUAGAGCACCGGCUUUGCAAGCCGGGGGUUGCCGGUUCGAGUCCGGUUGUCUCCA